GGAAUGACAAAUGUUUCAAGAGAGUUCAUCAGGUCCCGUGCUAGAGCAAACUGGCUCCUAACCAUUGCCCAGCCUUGGUGCAUGUAGGCUGCUGGCACUGAAGUGGGUCACACAGUG
Small nucleolar RNA from Rattus norvegicus (Norway rat), 117 nucleotides. Ensembl annotates it as small nucleolar RNA SNORA42/SNORA80 family. The record is from Ensembl. NCBI's taxonomy places the organism in Eukaryota, Metazoa, Chordata, Mammalia, Rodentia, Muridae.